This 652-nucleotide ribosomal RNA is filed under the name uncultured Vibrionaceae bacterium. Its description in RNAcentral is "bacterial SSU rRNA". It matches the Rfam family "Bacterial small subunit ribosomal RNA", at positions 28 to 671 of the family's 1533-position model. Lineage: Bacteria; Pseudomonadati; Pseudomonadota; Gammaproteobacteria; Vibrionales; Vibrionaceae. The record is from RNAcentral.
AUUGAACGCUGGCGGCAGGCCUAACACAUGCAAGUCGAGCGGAAACGAGAAUAGCUUGCUAUUCGGCGUCGAGCGGCGGACGGGUGAGUAAUGCCUGGGAAAUUGCCCUGAUGUGGGGGAUAACCAUUGGAAACGAUGGCUAAUACCGCAUAAUAGCUUCGGCUUAAAGAGGGGGACCUUCGGGCCUCUCGCUUCAGGAUAUGCCCAGGUGGGAUUAGCUAGUUGGUGAGGUAAAGGCUCACCAAGGCGACGAUCCCUAGCUGGUCUGAGAGGAUGAUCAGCCACACUGGAACUGAGACACGGUCCAGACUCCUACGGGAGGCAGCAGUGGGGAAUAUUGCACAAUGGGCGCAAGCCUGAUGCAGCCAUGCCGCGUGUAUGAAGAAGGCCUUCGGGUUGUAAAGUACUUUCAGCAGUGAGGAAGGGUGUGUAGUUAAUAGCUGCAUACUUUGACGUUAGCUGCAGAAGAAGCACCGGCUAACUCCGUGCCAGCAGCCGCGGUAAUACGGAGGGUGCGAGCGUUAAUCGGAAUUACUGGGCGUAAAGCGCAUGCAGGUGGUUUGUUAAGUCAGAUGUGAAAGCCCGGGGCUCAACCUCGGAACCGCAUUUGAAACUGGCAGGCUAGAGUACUGUAGAGGGGGGUAGAAUUUCA